GGGAUCAUUACACAAAUAUGAAGGCGGGCUGGAACCUCUCGGGGUUACAGCCUUGCUGAAUUAUUCACCCUUGUCUUUUGCGUACUUCUUGUUUCCUUGGUGGGUUCGCCCACCACUAGGACAAACAUAAACCUUUUGUAAUUGCAAUCAGCGUCAGUAACAAAUUAAUAAUUACAACUUUCAACAACGGAUCUCUUGGUUCUGGCAUCGAUGAAGAACGCAGCGAAAUGCGAUAAGUAGUGUGAAUUGCAGAAUUCAGUGAAUCAUCGAAUCUUUGAACGCACAUUGCGCCCUUUGGUAUUCCAAAGGGCAUGCCUGUUCGAGCGUCAUUUGUACCCUCAAGCUUUGCUUGGUGUUGGGCGUCUUGUCUCUAGCUUUGCUGGAGACUCGCCUUAAAGUAAUUGGCAGCCGGCCUACUGGUUUCGGAGCGCAGCACAAGUCGCACUCUCUAUCAGCAAAGGUCUAGCAUCCAUUAAGCCUUUUUUUCAACUUUUGACCUCGGAUCAGGUAGGGAUACCCGCUGAACUUAAGCAUAUCAAUAAGCGGAGGA
This 550-nucleotide small RNA is filed under the name uncultured Alternaria. Its description in RNAcentral is "eukaryotic LSU rRNA". The stretch from base 176 to 329 matches the Rfam family "5.8S ribosomal RNA". The record is from RNAcentral. Lineage: Eukaryota; Fungi; Ascomycota; Dothideomycetes; Pleosporales; Pleosporaceae.